AUGUCAAAUAUAAGAGAAAUAAUUUUAAAAGAGCGAAAACGUAGAUUUUUAUCUGCGUGUCUAAUAUUGUGUCUAGCAGUUGAUCAAGAAAAACGUAAAGUAAAACGUUCUGUGUGGACCAAGCCAUACUUAUUACGAAGAAAAUGUAAAAGUAUGCAUCAUAACCUAUUUCUGGAACUUGCGUUUGAAGAUCCAAAUCGAUUUUGUAGAUGUCUGCGUAUGAACAGUGAUGUCUUUCAAUAUUUUGUUGAAAAAGUUACACCUCUUAUUUAAAAGAAAACGCAUUUAAGAGAAAGUAUACCUCCUUCUGAGAGACUCUCCGUCACCUUGCGUCAUCUAGCUACUGGAGAAUCACAAGAAUCACUUAGCCUGCAGUUCAGAAUUGGUCAGAGCACAAUAUCAAACAUAAUAAGAGAAGUAUCUGCAGCGCUUAUCAAUGUUUUAAAAGAUGAAUUUUUGCGAAUACCAUCAUCUGCAUAAGAAUGGGAUAUUGUUGCUAAUGAUUAUGGACAAAGAUGGAAUUUUCAUCAUUGCAUUGGUGCAAUAGAUGGGAAGCAUGUGCGAAUAGAUCCUCCUCUUUCAUCAGGAUCAGCCUAUUACAACUAUAAAGAUUUUUACAGCAUUGUUUUAAUGGCUGUUGUUGAUGCACAGUUAAGAUUUAUAUACAUAGAUAUAGGUACCAAUGGAAGAAUGAGUGAUUCUCACAUAUGGAACAAAUGUAGUCUCAAAUCUCAUUUGAGUAACAAUAAUAUUCCUUUGCCUCAACCAUCUCCAAUUGCUGGAUGUGUCGAUAAUUUUCCUUAUGUACUGGUUGGUGAUGAGAUUUUCCCUCUCACAAAAUACUUGCUCAUUCCAUUUCCAAAAGAUCAGUGUCGUAAUCGGUUAGAUAGAAGAAUUUUUAACUACAGGUUAUCACGUGCCAGACGCUGUUCAGAAAAUGCAUUCGGUAUACUGGGUGCAAGAUUUCAGAUUUUUCGAACAGCUAUGAGAUACG
Linepithema humile (Argentine ant) is the source of this 994-nucleotide non-coding RNA. Lineage: Eukaryota; Metazoa; Arthropoda; Insecta; Hymenoptera; Formicidae. The record is from RefSeq and is a predicted model, not a curated record.